RNAcentral lists this ribosomal RNA (447 nucleotides) under uncultured bacterium. RNAcentral describes it as "bacterial SSU rRNA". It matches the Rfam family "Bacterial small subunit ribosomal RNA", at positions 330 to 793 of the family's 1533-position model. The record is from RNAcentral.
UCCAGACUCCUACGGGAGGCAGCAGUGGGGGAUAUUGCACAAUGGGGGGAACCCUGAUGCAGCGACGCCGCGUGGGUGAAGGAGCGUUUCGGCGCGUAAAGCCCUCUCGGCAGGGAAGAAGGAGGACGGUACCUGACUAAGAAGCCCCGGCUAACUACGUGCCAGCAGCCGCGGUAAUACGUAGGGGGCAAGCGUUAUCCGGAUUUACUGGGUGUAAAGGGGGCGCAGACGGCAGCGCAAGCCAGGAGUGAAAGCCCGGGGCCCAACCCCGGGACUGCUCUUGGAACUGCGCGGCUGGAGUGCAGGAGGGGCAGGCGGAAUUCCUGGUGUAGCGGUGAAAUGCGUAGAUAUCAGGAGGAACACCGGUGGCGAAGGCGGCCUGCUGGACUGCGACUGACGUUGAGGCCCGAAAGCGUGGGGAGCAAACAGGAUUAGAUACCCUGGUAU